AUACGGAGGGGGUUAGCGUUGUUCGGAAUUACUGGGCGUAAAGCGCACGUAGGCGGAUUGGAAAGUUGGGGGUGAAAUCCCAGGGCUCAACCCUGGAACUGCCUCCAAAACUAACAGUCUAGAGUUCGAGAGAGGUGAGUGGAAUUCCAAGUGUAGAGGCGAAAUUCGUAGAUAUUUGGAGGAACACCAGUGGCGAAGGCGGCUCACUGGCUCGAUACUGACGCUGAGGUGCGAAAGCGUGGGGAGCAAACAGGAUUAGAAACCCUAGUAGUCC
RNAcentral lists this ribosomal RNA (274 nucleotides) under uncultured bacterium. RNAcentral describes it as "partial 16S ribosomal RNA". It matches the Rfam family "Bacterial small subunit ribosomal RNA", at positions 523 to 796 of the family's 1533-position model. The record is from RNAcentral.